GCCCACUUAGCUCAAAGGUU
This 20-nucleotide transfer RNA is filed under the name Turnera scabra. RNAcentral's name for it is "partial tRNA-Thr". The record is from RNAcentral. Lineage: Eukaryota; Viridiplantae; Streptophyta; Magnoliopsida; Malpighiales; Passifloraceae.